ACACCCGGGUGACGUAAAUAGUUUUACUUCUAGAAUUCCAAUAUCAUUCAAAAAAAAUAACCACCCCUAGCCUCAAACAAAAAUACCCCACCGAACAAAAAACCCACACAAACGAAGAAACCCACCGGCGCCUCCCUCCCCCCUCCGGUGCUCUGCCAUAAAUUGGCAUCACCAUCCGGCGAACCAUCUCUAAUUAUCUUUUGCAGAGUUUUUAUAUUUGAUUUUAUAUAUGGAAUUUCGAUGAUUUGAUGUAUGGUUUCUUCAUUAUCUUAUGAUUUUCCAUAGGAGCAAAGCACCGGAGCUGGGGUGAUGAUCCACAAGAUCUAUUGAUGGGUUUCGUCUAUUGGCGUCGCUCGCCGCAAUCUACAACUCCAACAUAGAUGGAGCAACGACCAUCAUCGAUCGAGAAACCGCUAUCGUCACUAUUUCGGUAAAUUUUGCGGAAAAAAGGAAGAUGUGAUGCCGAUUGCGACUGUUUACGAACAUAUGUGUAUGUAUGUAUAGGUACCUGUCUGUAUAGGUCUGUAUAUGCGUUUGUUUUUUAAUUUGAAUUUUUAAUUUUUUGAGGUAAAAACUGUUUAUUAAAUUGUUUUUAUUUUAACAAGGAAGAGAUAUUCUUGAAAUUAGUUAUCCUAAAGGUCCAUUUGGUACAUACGAUGUAUUUCCUUUUUUCACAUAAACAACUUUUGUAAACACAUCUAUAUUCUAGGUUCUUCAAAAUUAAAUUAUGUGCUGUAUUUUUUGAGUUUGUUACAAUUACGUCAUAAGCAUCAUGACAGUUGUUGAAACUUUGAGGCAACUAUCAAGAGAUUAGUUUCUGACGUAUUGAGGUCCUUUAUACAUUGAAGAUCAUUUUUCUCGCUUCUAAUUUGCUUCGCAGAAACUUGAUGCAAGUAGAUGGAGGUAGACCAUACACCAUUAUACAUUAGGCUGUACAAAAUUGAUGAAAGUGAAGUAUUUUUCAGCAUCUACUUUCUCUGUAAUCUAUAUGCUUUUGUCGUGUUAAUCACUUCAUUUUUAGAGAAAAUAUGUUUUGCAGGGACCAACAUGGUAGACAAUGGUAAUUCAGAUUAGUUUUCCCUUGAUGUACUUUUUAACAACCUCACUAUUUUGAUCUCAGAGUAACCAUUUUUCUUCCCUAUUUCAACUACAAGUGACAAUGAGUGAGUUGAGGAUAUGUCAAAACGGUUGAACAUGUAGUAGUUGGAUUCCAAAUCAUAUUUUGUCUAAACUUUACAAACUUUUUGUAAACGAUAACAUCAUAUAAUUACAAGUUUUUGCAAAAGUGGUGUUAAUCACAAACCAAUUUUAACUAAAAUGAUUUACUAGGUAUUUGCAGCAAGGCGUUUAACCUGUUACCUUUUGAGCUUAUUUAAUUGUUUCUAUCUACUCAAAGAAUUAUGAUUGAUAAGUUGGGGUCGAAAAUACCGUGUUAUAUUUUCCAUGCACAAUGUCCACGACAUGCUAUUACAUGUUGGUACUCUUUGUUUAAGCUUAUUUACAAAUUCGUCCUUCUCUUGUGCUUUUAGUUCUCAGGUAUUUGGGGUAUUCGAUGAGUAGUUUGGGGGUCGGUACGUCAAUGGGUGACUGUGAGUGUGAAGGGGGAAUGAAAAAUUAUUGAAGGUGAAUACAAUUACUUCAAGAUCCAAGAUGUGAUGAUCACCUACAUUCAAAUUGGUUACUACUUACUACAGCUUUCUGUCCCCUCGAGAAUAGAGUUAGCCAAGAUAUAUUUGCUAAAUUACGUGUACAAAUUAGUUUUAUUGAUAUGUAUAACCUGUAGGUGCAUUCCAAAAAGGACCAAGAUUCUACUAAUAAAUUUCAAAUAUUUUUUUAGCUCCCAAGAAAGCGUGUUAUCAAUAUAUAGAACUUAAUAUGCAAAUGAUAAAAUUUUCACUUAA
Molecule: long non-coding RNA, 1901 nt
Organism: Erigeron canadensis
Lineage: Eukaryota; Viridiplantae; Streptophyta; Magnoliopsida; Asterales; Asteraceae
Exons: 2
Source: RefSeq, a predicted model, not a curated record